This 594-nucleotide ribosomal RNA is filed under the name uncultured bacterium. RNAcentral describes it as "bacterial SSU rRNA". It matches the Rfam family "Bacterial small subunit ribosomal RNA", at positions 250 to 842 of the family's 1533-position model. The record is from RNAcentral.
CGGCGGGGUAACGGCCCACCGAGGCGACGAUGCGUAGGGGUUCUGAGAGGAAGGUCCCCCACACUGGUACUGAGACACGGACCAGACUCCUACGGGAGGCAGCAGUGAGGAAUAUUGGUCAAUGGGCGGGAGCCUGAACCAGCCAAGUCGCGUGAGGGAAGACGGUCCUAUGGAUUGUAAACCUCUUUUGCCGGGGAGCAACGGGGUCCUUGCGAGGGCCUAAUGAGAGUACCCGGAGAAAAAGCAUCGGCUAACUCCGUGCCAGCAGCCGCGGUAAUACGGAGGAUGCGAGCGUUAUCCGGAUUUAUUGGGUUUAAAGGGUGCGUAGGCGGGCUGUUAAGUCAGCGGUCAAAUGUCGGGGCUCAACCCCGGCCUGCCGUUGAAACUGGUGGCCUCGAGUGGGCGAGAAGUAUGCGGAAUGCGUGGUGUAGCGGUGAAAUGCAUAGAUAUCACGCAGAACUCCGAUUGCGAAGGCAGCAUACCGGCGCCCGACUGACGCUGAGGCACGAAAGCGUGGGUAUCGAACAGGAUUAGAUACCCUGGUAGUCCACGCAGUAAACGAUGAAUGCUAGCUGUCCGGGGCUUCGGUCCUGG